GGUUUCAUGGUGUAGUGGUUAUCACGUCUGCUUUACACGCAGAAGGUCCUGAGUUCGAUCCUCAGUGAAACCA
Monodelphis domestica (gray short-tailed opossum) is the source of this 73-nucleotide transfer RNA. It matches the Rfam family "tRNA". Rfam says of the family: Transfer RNA (tRNA) molecules are approximately 80 nucleotides in length. The record is from Rfam. NCBI's taxonomy places the organism in Eukaryota, Metazoa, Chordata, Mammalia, Didelphimorphia, Didelphidae.